Molecule: ribosomal RNA, 253 nt
Filed under: uncultured bacterium
Lineage: Bacteria
Description: partial 16S ribosomal RNA
Rfam family: Bacterial small subunit ribosomal RNA
Source: RNAcentral
UACGUAGGGUGCAAGCGUUGUCCGGAAUUAUUGGGCGUAAAGAGCUCGUAGGCGGUCCGUCGCGUCGAAUGUGAAAACCCGGGGCUCAACCCCGGGCCUGCAUUCGAUACGGGCAGACUAGAGUUCGGUAGGGGAGUCUGGAAUUCCUGGUGUAGCGGUGAAAUGCGCAGAUAUCUGGAGGAACACCGGUGGCGAAGGCGGCAUCCUGGACCAAUACUGACGCUGAGGAGCGAAAGCCAGGGGAGCAAACGGG